UUAAUUCAAGGGUGUGCGACGAGUGGCCUUGUGCCGCGAAGCAAUCGGAAGUGGUUCCAAGAAAAGCCUCUAAGCUUCAGUCUAACGAGACCGUACCGCAAACCGACACAGGUGGGCGAGAUGAGUAUUCUAAGGCGCUUGAGAGAACUCGGGAGAAGGAACUCGGCAAAUUGGUACCGUAACUUCGGGAUAAGGUACGCCCUUGUAGUUUGACUGGCCUGCGCCAGAAGGACGAAGGGGUUGCAAUAAAUUGGUGGCUGCGACUGUUUAAUAAAAACACAGCACUCUGCAAACACGAAAGUGGACGUAUAGGGUGUGACUCCUGCCCGGUGCUGGAAGAUUAAAUGAUGGGGUGCAAGCUCUUGAUUGAAGUCCCAGUAAACGGCGGCCGUAACGAUAACGGUCCUAAGGUAGCGAAAUUCCUUGUCGGGUAAGUUCCGACCUGCACGAAUGGAGUAACGAUGGCCACACUGUCUCCUCCCGAGACUCAGCGAAGUUGAAAUGUUUGUGAUAUGCAAUCUACCCGCGGCUAGACGGAAAGACCCCAUGAACCUUUACUGUAGCUUUGCAUUGGACUUUGAACCAAUCUGUGUAGGAUAGGUGGGAGGCUUUGAAGCGGGGACGCCAGUUCUCGUGGAGCCAUCCUUGAAAUACCACCCUGGUUUGUUUGAGGUUCUAACCUUGGUCCGUUAUCCGGAUCGGGGACAGUGCAUGGUAGGCAGUUUGACUGGGGCGGUCUCCUCCCAAAGUGUAACGGAGGAGUUCGAAGGUACGCUAAUUACGGUCGGACAUCGUGAUGAUAGUGCAAUGGCAUAAGCGUGCUUAACUGCGAGACUGACAAGUCGAGCAGGUACGAAAGUAGGACAUAGUGAUCCGGUGGUUCUGUAUGGAAGGGCCAUCGCUCAACGGAUAAAAGGUACUCUGGGGAUAACAGGCUGAUUCCUCCCAAGAGUUCAUAUCGACGGGGGAGUUUGGCACCUCGAUGUCGGCUCAUCACAUCCUGGGGCUGUAGCCGGUCCCAAGGGUAUGGCUGUUCGCCAUUUAAAGUGGUACGUGAGCUGGGUUUAAAACGUCGUGAGACAGUUUGGUCCCUAUCUGCCGUGGGCGUUGGAAAUUUGAAGGGGGCUGCUCCUAGUACGAGAGGACCGGAGUGGACGAACCUCUGGUGUACCGGUUGUCACGCCAGUGGCAUUGCCGGGUAGCUAAGUUCGGAAGAGAUAACCGCUGAAAGCAUCUAAGCGGGAAACUUGCCUUGAGAUGAGAUUUCCCAGAGCCUUGAGCUCUUUAAAGGGUCGUUCGAGACCAGGACGUUGAUAGGCUGGGUGUGGAAGUG
This 1333-nucleotide ribosomal RNA is filed under the name metagenome. Its description in RNAcentral is "bacterial LSU rRNA". It matches the Rfam family "Bacterial large subunit ribosomal RNA", at positions 1551 to 2875 of the family's 2925-position model. The record is from RNAcentral.